This 215-nucleotide long non-coding RNA is filed under the name Malus domestica (apple). RNAcentral describes it as "long non-coding RNA (MDOM_LNC012187)". The record is from RNAcentral. Lineage: Eukaryota; Viridiplantae; Streptophyta; Magnoliopsida; Rosales; Rosaceae.
CCGCUGGUCUAAAUGACAAAGGUUGAGCGUAAACAAAAGAAGCGAAGAUGAAGAAAAGUGAAGGAAUCAAGUUUAUUGAAUUUUUUUAGCAAAAUUGAUAAACAAAUAGCAAAGGCCGAAGGAGUUCAAGCAAAGCAAAAAACAACAAGGAAAACCAAGAAAACCCUAAAGGCUACCUAGAAGGCUACUCUUCAGCAGCUUGGACAUCCCACGAC